CAAUUUACUUAUUUUAGGUUAUAUUUACAAUAACAGAAGGUUAAAAAAAUGUCAAAAUCAAGAAAAAGCUUAUCGACUCUUUGGGUUACUUGUGAUAAAUGCCAAUCAACAAUGUCACAAAAAGACACGUGCUUCCAUGAGUCUACAUGUCCUCCGACAAAUGAUGAAUGGACUCAUAAUUAUGUACAAAACAAAAUUCUUUACAGUUAUGUUGAUACUUAUUGUUCAAAAGAACUUCCAAAAAAUAUCACUGAACGAGAUUCCCAUGAGAUGGUUUUCAUGUCUCAUUCUGCAUUAGAAUUGUGUGAAAUAGCGAUUGGCGACAGAGUAAUUUUAUCUUUCAAAGGUGAAGAAAUAGUUAAAACUGCGUGGCCCACCAGUGACAAAAGUUUAACUAGUGUAUGUUUAACUAAAAAUAGUAAGUUGUAUUAAUGAAACAUUAU
RNAcentral lists this unclassified non-coding RNA (443 nucleotides) under Cotesia glomerata. Its description in RNAcentral is "uncharacterized LOC123258472, transcript variant X1". The record is from RNAcentral. Lineage: Eukaryota; Metazoa; Arthropoda; Insecta; Hymenoptera; Braconidae.